UCCAAUUACCUUAUGUGCUUACCUGGGAAA
Molecule: non-coding RNA, 30 nt
Filed under: Rattus norvegicus (Norway rat)
Lineage: Eukaryota; Metazoa; Chordata; Mammalia; Rodentia; Muridae
Source: RNAcentral